RNAcentral lists this transfer RNA (144 nucleotides) under Kalmusia sp. IMI 367209. RNAcentral's name for it is "tRNA-Asp". Lineage: Eukaryota; Fungi; Ascomycota; Dothideomycetes; Pleosporales; Didymosphaeriaceae. The record is from RNAcentral.
UCUUCCUUGGUCUAGUGGUCAUGAUUUCCGCUUGUCAAACGUUAUACGACGUUAACAAGCGCGGGAGACCGGGGUACGUGAGCUCUCAUCCUGAACAUACACAUCAUCCUAACUUGUGAAAAGGUUCGAUUCCCCGAGGGAGAG